Molecule: long non-coding RNA, 1023 nt
Filed under: Vulpes vulpes (red fox)
Lineage: Eukaryota; Metazoa; Chordata; Mammalia; Carnivora; Canidae
Description: lncRNA (ENSVVUG00000021768.1)
Source: RNAcentral
GUAAUUCAACCUAUUCAAGACUUCCUGAACUCAUUAAUCCAUAACUGUUCAAUGAAUUUCUAUAUUGCAGGCACUGCUCUGAGUAGUAGAGAUAGAGGAAAGAAGGACUAAUGCCAGCCUUUUCGAAGUUCACCCACUGUGGAGGACUCAUAUAUAUAGAAGACAUAUACUCACACUAUAAAGGAACAUAGACUGAAAAAUCUCACCAACGAGUCACAUAUGAGGUCUCUUCCUAGAGGAAGGAAUGCCUAAGUUAAUUGCUGAAGUCUGAACUGGGACUUCAUCAGGAGAAGAGUUAGCAGAGGAAAAUUCUAGCCAGGAGAAAGAGUGGCUUCUAAUACUAUUGACCAGUGGCCAAAGGGUAGUAGGAAAACACAAGGUGUUCCAAAUGUCUGGAGUGUAUGUUACAAGGGAAAGAGCCAUGAAAUAAGGCUGUAAGUUAUCAGAAGUGAGGUUAGGCAGGCUGUGGUAAAGCAUCUGGGUUUGACCCUGGGUGAAUGGAAGACAAUGGAGAUCUUUAUAAGAUGGGCAUACAUGCUCAGAUGAGUGUGAACAAUGCAAUCUAGGUUUCUGAAUUAGGGGUCAAGAAGAUCAAGUGUGAGGCAUCCUUAAUCUUAUAAGAUAUGGUGGCCUUGACUUGAGUAAUGAUGUGAGAUAAGAAGCAAUCCAGAUAGAUAUUUGGCAAAGAGCAAUAUUGAUAAGACCAAGGAGACUUCAUUGGCUAAGAAUGACUUGGUGAUUGGUUCAGCCAUCGACUUCUCAUACAUCACUAAAGAAAGAUUGAACUCAGUUGUGUAUAUUUAUUUGAAUGACAAUCAUUUAUUAAAAAAACAGCCUCUUGUAAAAGACCUGGUCCCUAACUCAUGAGUUUUCUCUAAUGAGAAAAGAAGUCAGAUUGCCAGAAAUGUUUCCCACACUGAGACUGCUGUGUCCUUUGGACAAGAACAUUCAAGACAACUUCAGUGUCAUGACUGUAAUCUGUGUACAACUAACAUCCAAAAUAAAGUAGAUGGCCAUUCUGGC